RNAcentral lists this ribosomal RNA (490 nucleotides) under uncultured bacterium. RNAcentral describes it as "partial 16S ribosomal RNA". It matches the Rfam family "Bacterial small subunit ribosomal RNA", at positions 30 to 507 of the family's 1533-position model. The record is from RNAcentral.
AUUGAACGCUGGUGGCAGGCCUAACACAUGCAAGUCGAACGGUAACAGGAAGCAGCUUGCUGCUUCGCUGACGAGUGGCGGACGGGUGAGUAAUGUCUGGGAAGCUGCCUGAUGGAGGGGGAUAACUACUGGAAACGGUAGCUAAUACCGCAUAAUGUCGCAAGACCAAAGAGGGGGACCUUCGGGCCUCUUGCCAUCGGAUGUGCCCAGAUGGGAUUAGCUUGUUGGUGGGGUAACGGCUCACCAAGGCGACGAUCCCUAGCUGGUCUGAGAGGAUGACCAGCCACACUGGAACUGAGACACGGUCCAGACUCCUACGGGAGGCAGCAGUGGGGAAUAUUGCACAAUGGGCGCAAGCCUGAUGCAGCCAUGCCGCGUGUAUGAAGAAGGCCUUCGGGUUGUAAAGUACUUUCAGCGGGGAGGAAGGGAGUAAAGUUAAUACCUUUGCUCAUUGACGUUACCCGCAGAAGAAGCACCGGCUAACUCCGUG